This 427-nucleotide ribosomal RNA is filed under the name Ralstonia insidiosa. RNAcentral describes it as "bacterial SSU rRNA". It matches the Rfam family "Bacterial small subunit ribosomal RNA", at positions 353 to 772 of the family's 1533-position model. The record is from RNAcentral. Lineage: Bacteria; Pseudomonadati; Pseudomonadota; Betaproteobacteria; Burkholderiales; Burkholderiaceae.
AGUGGGGAAUUUUGGACAAUGGGGGCAACCCUGAUCCAGCAAUGCCGCGUGUGUGAAGAAGGCCUUCGGGUUGUAAAGCACUUUUGUCCGGAAAGAAAUCGCACUUACUAAUAUUAGGUGUGGAUGACGGUACCGGAAGAAUAAGGACCGGCUAACUACGUGCCAGCAGCCGCGGUAAUACGUAGGGUCCAAGCGUUAAUCGGAAUUACUGGGCGUAAAGCGUGCGCAGGCGGUUGUGCAAGACCGAUGUGAAAUCCCCGGGCUUAACCUGGGAAUUGCAUUGGUGACUGCACGGCUAGAGUGUGUCAGAGGGGGGUAGAAUUCCACGUGUAGCAGUGAAAUGCGUAGAGAUGUGGAGGAAUACCGAUGGCGAAGGCAGCCCCCUGGGAUAACACUGACGCUCAUGCACGAAAGCGUGGGGAGCAAA